UACGUAGGGUGCAGGCGUUAAUCGGAAUUACUGGGCGUAAAGCGCGCGCAGGCGGUUUGCUAAGACAGGUGUGAAAUCCCCGGGCUUAACCUGGGAACUGCGGUUGUAACUGGCAAGCUAGAGUGUGGCAGAGGGGGGUGGAAUUCCAGGUGUAGCAGUGAAAUGCGUAGAGAUCUGGAGGAACACCGAUGGCGAAGGCAGCCCCCUGGGCUAACACUGACGCUCAUGCACGAAAGCGUGGGGAGCAAACAGG
RNAcentral lists this ribosomal RNA (253 nucleotides) under uncultured bacterium. RNAcentral describes it as "partial 16S ribosomal RNA". It matches the Rfam family "Bacterial small subunit ribosomal RNA", at positions 524 to 776 of the family's 1533-position model. The record is from RNAcentral.